Molecule: non-coding RNA, 87 nt
Organism: Thermoactinomyces sp. DSM 45891
Lineage: Bacteria; Bacillati; Bacillota; Bacilli; Caryophanales; Thermoactinomycetaceae
Source: Rfam
UAACCUAGACCGAAAGGUUUAGCUGAACAUGCAGAAGUCAGCAGAUGCCAUAGUACCUGAGUAGAGGACGCUUGAAAAGGGAAGGGC